This 1292-nucleotide ribosomal RNA is filed under the name metagenome. RNAcentral's name for it is "bacterial LSU rRNA". It matches the Rfam family "Bacterial large subunit ribosomal RNA", at positions 1529 to 2836 of the family's 2925-position model. The record is from RNAcentral.
AAAAUAGGCAAAUCCGUUUAGACAAUGCUAGGAUGUGAUGGGGAAGCCCUUCGGGGCGAAGUAGCUGAUUUCACACUGUCAAGAAAAGCUUCUAUCGAGUUUAAAGGCGCCCGUACCGUAAACCGACACAGGUGGGUGAGGAGAGUAUCCUAAGGCCAGCGAGAGAACUAUUGUUAAGGAACUCGGCAAAAUGACCCCGUAACUUAGGGAGAAGGGGUGCCUGUCUAUGACAGGCCGCAGAGAAUAGGCCCAAGCGACUGGUUACCAAAAACACAGGUUUCUGCUAAGUCGCAAGACGAUGUAUAGGAGCUGACGCCUGCCCGGUGCUGGAAGGUUAAGGGGAUCUGUUAGAGCAAUCGAAGCAGUGAACUUAAGCCCCAGUAAACGGCGGCCGUAACGAUAACGGUCCUAAGGUAGCGAAAUUUCUUGUCGGGUAAGUUCCGACCCGCACGAAAGGCGUAACGAUUUGGGCACUGUCUCAACAAUAGACUCGGUGAAAUUGUAAUCCCGGUGAAGAUGCCGGGUACCUGCGACAGGACGGAAAGACCCCAUGGAGCUUUACUGUAGCUUGACGUUGGGUCUUGGUACUACAUGUACAGGAUAGGUGGGAGACUAUGAAGCAUGGACGCCAGUCUGUGUGGAGUCAUCCUUGGGAUACCACCCUUGUAGUACUGGGAUCCUAACCAUAGGCCUUGAAUCAGGUCUUGGAACACCGUCAGGUGGGCAGUUUGACUGGGGCGGUCGCCUCCUAAAAAGUAACGGAGGCGCUCAAAGGUUUCCUCAGCACGGUCGGAAAUCGUGCGAAGAGUGUAAAGGCAAAAGGAAGCUUGAUUGCAAGACAUACAGGUCGAGCAAGGACGAAAGUCGGACUUAGUGAUCCGGUGGUACCGCAUGGAAGGGCCAUCGAUCAACGGAUAAAAGCUACCCUGGGGAUAACAGGCUUAUCUCCCCCAAGAGUCCACAUCGACGGGGAGGUUUGGCACCUCGAUGUCGGCUCAUCACAUCCUGGGGCUGUAGUAGGUCCCAAGGGUUGGGCUGUUCGCCCAUUAAAGUGGUACGCGAGCUGGGUUCAGAACGUCGUGAGACAGUUCGGUCCCUAUCCGUCGCAGGCGUAGGAAAUUUGAGAAGACCUGUCCUUAGUACGAGAGGACCGGGAUGGACGUACCUCUGGUGUACCAGUUGUUCUGCCAAGGGCAUGGCUGGGUAGCUAUGUACGGAAUGGAUAAGCGCUGAAAGCAUCUAAGCGCGAAGCCAACUUCAAGAUAAGAUUUCCCACCGUAAGGGUAAGACCC